UACGUAGGGGGCAAGCGUUAUCCGGAUUUACUGGGUGUAAAGGGGGCGCAGGCGGCGCGCCAAGUCUGAUGUGAAACCCCGGGGCUCAACCCCGGACAUGCAUUGGAAACUGGCGGGCUGGAGUGCCGGAGAGGUAAGCGGAAUUCCUAGUGUAGCGGUGAAAUGCGUAAAUAUUAGGAGGAACACCAGUGGCGAAGGCGGCUUACUGGACGGCAACUGACGCUGAGGCUCGAAAGCGUGGGGAGCAAACAGG
RNAcentral lists this ribosomal RNA (253 nucleotides) under uncultured bacterium. RNAcentral's name for it is "partial 16S ribosomal RNA". It matches the Rfam family "Bacterial small subunit ribosomal RNA", at positions 524 to 776 of the family's 1533-position model. The record is from RNAcentral.